AAAUGCCAUCCGCUGUGUGAACCUGCCUGUCUGAACUCUGGAGUGUGUGUCGCUCCGAACACCUGCGACUGUCCUGCAGGAUAUCCUGGACCAGGAUGCUCGGCCAUGUGUUCUCCACCCUGCGCUCAUGGAGGGUCCUGUAUGCGGUGGAACGUCUGUCUGUGUCGUCCGGGCUGGACAGGGGACGGCUGCCACACAGCCGUGUGUGAGCUGCCGUGUGCGAACGGUGGACGGUGUGUCGCUCCAAACACCUGCCAGUGUCCCUCCGACUACAGCGGAGCGCAGUGUCUCACCCCUCUGUGUUCUCCUCCGUGUGUGAAUGGAGGGAAGUGUGUGGACAUCAACACCUGCAGCUGCUCAGACGGAUGGACAGGAGCUCGCUGUC
Cyprinus carpio (common carp) is the source of this 385-nucleotide long non-coding RNA. RefSeq lists it as uncharacterized. Lineage: Eukaryota; Metazoa; Chordata; Actinopteri; Cypriniformes; Cyprinidae. The transcript is spliced from 5 exons. The record is from RefSeq and is a predicted model, not a curated record.